This 252-nucleotide ribosomal RNA is filed under the name uncultured bacterium. Its description in RNAcentral is "partial 16S ribosomal RNA". It matches the Rfam family "Bacterial small subunit ribosomal RNA", at positions 524 to 776 of the family's 1533-position model. The record is from RNAcentral.
UACGGAGGAUGCGAGCGUUAUCCGGAUUUAUUGGGUUUAAAGGGUGCGUAGGCGGUCCGUUAAGUCAGCGGUAAAAUUGCGGGGCUCAACCCCGUCGAGCCGUUGAAACUGGCAGACUUGAGUUGGCGAGAAGUAUGCGGAAUGCGUGGUGUAGCGGUGAAAUGCAUAGAUAUCACGCAGAACUCCGAUUGCGAAGGCAGCAUACCGGCGCCCUACUGACGCUGAGGCACGAAAGCGUGGGUAUCGAACAGG